This 501-nucleotide ribosomal RNA is filed under the name uncultured Patulibacter sp. Its description in RNAcentral is "partial 16S ribosomal RNA". Lineage: Bacteria; Bacillati; Actinomycetota; Thermoleophilia; Solirubrobacterales; Patulibacteraceae. The record is from RNAcentral.
CACGUAGUUAGCCGGCGCUUCUUCUGAAGGUACCGUCACUCCAAACCGCUAUUCACGACCGAAGCUUCGUCCCAACUGAAAGCGGUUUACAACCCUAAGGCCUUCUUCCCGCACGCGGCGUUGCUGCAUCACGCUUUCGCGCAUUGUGCAAGAUUCCCCACUGCUGCCUCCCGUAGGAGUCUGGGCCGUGUCUCAGUCCCAGUGUGGCUGAUCGUCCUCUCAGACCAGCUACGCAUCGUCGCCUUGGUAAGCCAUUACCCCACCAACAAGCUAAUGCGCCGCGGGCCCAUCCCGAUGCGGAGGCCGAAGCUUCCUUUCCCCAAGGGGCACAUCCGGUAUUAGCCCGUCUUUCGACGGGUUGUCCCAGUCAUCGGGGUAGGUCACCCACGUGUUACUCACCCGUUCGCGGCUCUGCCCCGGAGCAAGCUCCGGUUCGUCGCUCCACUUGCAUGUGUUAGGCACGCCGCCAGCGUUGUCCUGUAGCCAGGAGUCAAACGUACU